GAUCCUGGCUCAGGACGAAUGCUGGCGGCGUGCCUAACACAUGCGAGUCGAACGGACUUUAUUGAGCGGCGGGCUUCGGCCCAAAGCUGAAUAAAGUUAGUGGCGAACGGGUGAGUAACACGUGAGCAACCUGCCUUUAAGUGGGGAAUAACAUUCCGAAAGGGAUGCUAAUACCGAAUGAUGUAUCAUGGACGCAUGGCCAAGAUACCAAAGAUUUAUCGCUUAGAGAUGGGCUCGCGGCCGAUUACGUAAUUGGUGAGGUAAUGGCUCACCAAGCCGACGAUCGGUAGCCGGACUGAGAGGGUGAACGGCCACAUUGGGACUGAGACACGGCCCAGACUCCUACGGGAGGCAGCAGUGGGGAAUAUUGCACAAUGGGCGAAAGCCUGAUGCAGCGACGCCGCGUGAGGGAAGACGGCCUUCGGGUUGUAAACCUCUGUCUUCGGUGACGAAAAUGACGGUAGCCGAGGAGGAAGCCACGGCUAACUACGUGCCAGCAGCCGCGGUAAUACGUAGGUGGCGAGCGUUGUCCGGAAUUACUGGGUGUAAAGGGAGCGUAGGCGGGAGCGCAAGUUUACUGUUUAAUCUAUCGGCUCAACCGGUAUCAGCGGUAAAAACUGCGUUUCUUGAGUGAAGUAGAGGUAGGCGGAAUUCCUAGUGUAGCGGUGAAAUGCGUAGAGAUUAAGAGGAACACCAGUGGCGAAGGCGGCCUACUGGGCUUUAACUGACGCUGAGGCUCGAAAGCGUGGGGAGCAAACAGGAUUAGAUACCCUGGUAGUCCACGCCGUAAACGAUGAUUACUAGGUGUGUGGGGACUGACCCCUUCCGUGCCGGAGCUAACGCAAUAAGUAAUCCACCUGGGGAGUACGGUCGCAAGACUGAAACUCAAAGGAAUUGACGGGGGCCCGCACAAGCAGUGGAUUAUGUGGUUUAAUUCGAAGCAACGCGAAGAACCUUACCAGGUCUUGACAUCGUGCGCAUAGCCUAGAGAUAGGUGAAGCCCUUCGGGGCGCAUAGACAGGUGGUGCAUGGUUGUCGUCAGCUCGUGUCGUGAGAUGUUGGGUUAAGUCCCGCAACGAGCGCAACCCUUAUUGUUAGUUGCUACGCAAGAGCACUCUAACGAGACUGCCGUUGACAAAACGGAGGAAGGUGGGGAUGACGUCAAAUCAUCAUGCCCCUUAUGACCUGGGCUACACACGUAAUACAAUGGCGAUGAACAGAGGGCAGCCACACCGCGAGGUGGAGCGAAUCCCUAAAAAUCGUCUCAGUUCGGAUUGCAGGCUGCAACUCGCCUGCAUGAAGUCGGAAUUGCUAGUAAUCGCGGAUCAGCAUGCCGCGGUGAAUACGUUCCCGGGCCUUGCACACAACGCCCGUCA
Molecule: ribosomal RNA, 1376 nt
Filed under: uncultured bacterium
Lineage: Bacteria
Description: bacterial SSU rRNA
Rfam family: Bacterial small subunit ribosomal RNA
Source: RNAcentral